RNAcentral lists this ribosomal RNA (279 nucleotides) under uncultured bacterium. RNAcentral's name for it is "partial 16S ribosomal RNA". It matches the Rfam family "Bacterial small subunit ribosomal RNA", at positions 506 to 784 of the family's 1533-position model. The record is from RNAcentral.
UGCCAGCCGCCGCGGUAAUACGGAGGGUGCAAGCGUUAAUCGGAAUUACUGGGCGUAAAGCGCGCGUAGGCGGUUAUUUAAGUCAGAUGUGAAAGCCCCGGGCUCAACCUGGGAACUGCAUUCCAAACUGACAAACUAGAGUACGAGAGAGGGGGGUAGAAUUCAGAGUGUAGCGGUGAAAUGCGUAGAUAUUCUGAGGAAUACCGGUGGCGAAGGCGGCCCCCUGGCUUGAUACUGACGCUCAGGUGCGAAAGCGUGGGUAGCAAACAGGAUUAGAUA